This is a long non-coding RNA of Pyrus x bretschneideri (Chinese white pear), 1242 nucleotides long. RefSeq lists it as uncharacterized. The record is from RefSeq and is a predicted model, not a curated record. The transcript has 3 exons. Lineage: Eukaryota; Viridiplantae; Streptophyta; Magnoliopsida; Rosales; Rosaceae.
UCGGCUCAUCCUCUUUCUGUCUCUUUCUCUCUUCUUCUUCUUCUUUUUUUCCCCGACCUGCACACAUAACAACUAUGGCGAAGCCGACGUUCUUCGGCAAACCAAUCCCAUUAAACCAUCACUAUCGUGACCUAAUCUUUCCCGUGGAGCUAACCGUUGUCACUUUCCUUCGAGAUUUGAAGCCAAGAUAUCGAUUUGAGAAGCUCUAAUGACUAAUGAGGUCCGAACUUCCCGGCAAGUUCCUGCCCUUUAUCGGUGAAGAUAGAAGAGGGAGGAGUUUUCCCUAUUUUUCGGCGAGAAAACAGAGGGCUGAUAGGGGAUUUCGAGAGAACGGCAAGGAAUCAACCCUCGAGACCACCAUUAUCGUGUUCAUCUAAAUCCCAAUAGUUCUAAUAUGCCCUUGGAUCAGACGUGAAGAGUAGGCCAGAUUUCGACAAAUCUAGAUAUGGGUAAACCCGGUACCGAUAUGAUUCCAACCAACGGCGACAUAAUAUUUUACCGCCGGCGACCAUUACCUAUACCAGCGCGUGACGGCGCAUGCCAACCUCCUGCCGGUGCGUGCGACGGCGCAUGGCAGCGAACCUGGGUUUUCGAACGCUUGAAAUGGUCGUCUUCGCAGUAUUCAAUUGGUUUACUAACUAGAUAAAGGUUCUUUUACUUUGAGUGUUAUCCUCAGGAUUACAAAAAGCAUGCAGGGCAAGGUGGUUACAACCAUACAGUGUAUCUAUGAGUGAGCUUUUGCAUUUAAACAAUAUUACAUAGGAAACGUUAACAAAAAGCUUCUGGUAUUGUUCAUUUUAACGAAAAAUCACAUUUUUACAUCAAAAUUAAAAUUCAAAGUUUUCAAGUUUUUUUUAAUUAAUUUUCCUUAUUACAUAUGUGUGUGUAUAUAUAUUUUUUUGGUACUGGUUUUAUAUGAUGCUUUUAUAUCAUUCUUUGCUUUUACUUAGAAUAUGCAAUUAAUUAUUAUGACGACCACGAUGUGAUUUAUGAGCUUGAGAACCUCUAUUGAGAAAUGUUUACUACCGUGCAUUAUUUUUGAGAAUUGCAAAACUUUAUAUGCUCUUAUGAUUUGUGACGCUUGUGAUUUUGAGCGUUCGAAAGCCCAUGUCCACAGCCAGGCGCCGCCGCACGGCAACGAACGUGGGUUUAUCCAUGCAUGUUUAUAUAUGACUUAUCCGCUCAUCAUGUAUGCUUACACAGUAUGUAUAGUACUGUCUGGAGCUAGGACCAGCUUCAUGU